GACGAACACUGGCGGCGUGCCUAAUACAUGCAAGUUGAGCGCUGAAGGUUGGUACUUGUACCAACUGGAUGAGCAGCGAACGGGUGAGUAACGCGUGGGGAAUCUGCCUUUGAGCGGGGGACAACAUUUGGAAACGAAUGCUAAUACCGCAUAAAAACUUUAAACACAAGUUUUAAGUUUGAAAGAUGCAAUUGCAUCACUCAAAGAUGAUCCCGCGUUGUAUUAGCUAGUUGGUGUGGUAAAGGCUCACCAAGGCGAUGAUACAUAGCCGACCUGAGAGGGUGAUCGGCCACAUUGGGACUGAGACACGGCCCAAACUCCUACGGGAGGCAGCAGUAGGGAAUCUUCGGCAAUGGACGAAAGUCUGACCGAGCAACGCCGCGUGAGUGAAGAAGGUUUUCGGAUCGUAAAACUCUGUUGGUAGAGAAGAACGUUGGUGAGAGUGGAAAGCUCAUCAAGUGACGGUAACUACCCAGAAAGGGACGGCUAACUACGUG
RNAcentral lists this ribosomal RNA (497 nucleotides) under uncultured bacterium. RNAcentral's name for it is "partial 16S ribosomal RNA". It matches the Rfam family "Bacterial small subunit ribosomal RNA", at positions 28 to 507 of the family's 1533-position model. The record is from RNAcentral.